GGGGUCGGGGGGACACGCUGAGGUGAAGCCACGGGGUCAGGGAGGACACGCUGAGGUGAAGCCACGGGGUCGGGGAGGACACGCUGAGGUGAAGCCACGGGGUCGGGGAGGACACGCUGAGGUGAGGACACGCUGAGGUGAAGCCAUAGGGUCGGGGAG
Long non-coding RNA from Ailuropoda melanoleuca (giant panda), 159 nucleotides. RefSeq lists it as uncharacterized. The record is from RefSeq and is a predicted model, not a curated record. Lineage: Eukaryota; Metazoa; Chordata; Mammalia; Carnivora; Ursidae. The transcript has 3 exons.